Molecule: ribosomal RNA, 1285 nt
Filed under: metagenome
Description: bacterial LSU rRNA
Rfam family: Bacterial large subunit ribosomal RNA
Source: RNAcentral
CUUCUUGCUCGAGAGGGAAACAGCCCAGACCAUCAACUAAGGUCCCAAAUAUAGACUAAGUGGUAAAGGAAGUGAGAUCACGUAGACAGCCAGGAUGUUGGCUUAGAGGCAGCCAUCAUUUAAAGAGUGCGUAACAGCUCACUGGUCGAGUGAUUUCGCGCCGAAAAUGAUCGGGGCUCAAGUUUAUAACCGAAGUUAUGGCUUUGAGUAUCUUCGGAUACUCAAGGGGUAGGGGAGCGUAGUGCUAUGCGUUGAAGGCAUACUGAAAAGAAUGCUGGAGUUGGCACUAGUGAUACUGUUGGUAGUGAGUAGCGAAAACUAUAGCGAGAAACUAUAGCAUCGAAAAUCUAAGGUUUCCUGGGGAAGGUAAAUCCGCCCAGGGUUAGUCGAUCCUAAGCAGAGGCCGAAAGGCGUACGCGAUGGAUAUCAGGUUAAUAUUCCUGAACUGAUUACGAACGUUAUACUCCAAUGUGACGGGGUAGGUUACGCAAGCAGAGUGUUGGAUGUCUCUGUCUAAGGCCGUAGGCGUAUCGCAAGAUAUGCUGAGAACUGAUGGGGAGCCCAAUCGCAAGUGCGGGCGAAGUUGCAGAUACCAUGCUUCCAAGAAAAACCACUAGAGUGAGAGUUGUGAUUAAUCGUACCGGAAUCCGACACAGGUAGAUAGGCUGAAUAUGCCAAGAUGCUCGAGAGAAUCCUCCUUAAGGAACUAGGCAAAAUCACCCCGUAACUUCGGGAGAAGGGGUGCCUGAUUCGUGUAGAGCUCCGCGCUUGAAGCGAUGAUGGCCACAGUAAAGAGGCUCGGGUGACUGUUUAGUAAAAACACAUCACUCUGCAAAGUCGUAAGACGACGUAUAGGGUGUGACACCUGCCCGGUGCUGGAAGGUUAAGGGGAGAGGUCAGCGUAAGCGAAGCUUCGAACUGAAGCCCCAGUAAACGGCGGCCGUAACUAUAACGGUCCUAAGGUAGCGAAAUUCCUUGUGGGGUAAGUUCCCACGCGCACGAAUGGUGUAACAACUUGAGCGCUGUCUCGAGGAGGAACUCGGCGAAAUUGUAGCGGCGGUGAAGAUGCCGUCUACCCGCACCAAGACGAAAAGACCCCAGAACCUUUACUGCAUUCUGGUAUUGGAUUUGGUUAUUGAUUGUGUAGGAUAGCUAGGAGGCUGUGAAGUUCCGGCGUUAGCCGGGAUGGAGCCAACGGUGAAAUACUAGCCUGUUGAUGACUAGAUUCUAACCUUGUCCUGUGAAACCAGGCAGGAAACAGUGCCAGAUGGGCAGUUUGACUGGG